GAUUUCACACUUGUACCGGGCCUCUCUCCUUCUCUCUCUCCCCUUCUCUCCAUCAUUUUUCUUUCGUUUAUUUCUUCCUUUCUCCAAUGUCCUUCCUUUCUUUAAUCAGAUUGAGGUCUUUGGCAGGCUAUUUUGCCAGAGUCCUUCAGGGGACAGCGAGGCCCUGUCCUCACGGAGCAGAGUGGGCAGUGCGGCCACGUGCUGGGCUGUGAACUGUUCUUGGCACCUACUGUGGGGACCAGCAGAGACCCCAGUCCCCAGAGGCUCCAUAUGGGCCUGUUCUGCCUCCAAGUUUAUGUGGGCAGGAUGCUGGGAUCAUGACAGCCUGGCCUUUUCUCCUCAUGCCAGUCUAGUUUUAUUGGUGGGAGAGGAGAGUGUGUGUGUGUGUGUGUGUGUGUGUGUGUGUGUGUGUGUGUGUGUGUGUGUGUUGGGGAAGGGGUGGUGAGCAAGGUCAGAGGAAAAUAAGUCAAUGGGGUCAUCAUUCAUGCAGAACACUUUUUCAACUUAAAUAUUAAUUUUAUCAGAUUUGUCUAAGAUGACAGAGUUUUUGUUUGGGUGAAAGGAGGUUUCAUAUUUCCUAGAUUCAUAAUCCACUUAGGAAAAAGGAGGGGGGAUGCACGGAGUUAGCACAUAUUAAGUGCCUGCUGUAGUCAAGCCCUGUUGGACACCAGGGACAUCUGGACCUUGACAACGGAGCGAAGGGGUGGUCCUGCCUGCACCAGGUUUCAGGUGAGGAGAUUGAGGCCCACAGAGAUCCGGGACUGGCCUCACUUAGCUGACUGUGGGUUCUCUCAACAGGGUGAACAUGAAAAAUAGAAGCCUCCAGUUUCUCCUGAUAGUGUAUAGAUGGGCAGAUCUGGCCUCAAUGGCAGAAGAUACUUGGGGAACUGGAGAAAGUACAGAAGGUGAUGUGAAAUCAAUUGGGUCAUCAAAAGAAGACGGGUGUACCACAAUUUGUUCCUCCACCUGCUGCCCAUGAACAUUUGGAGGGUUUCUAGUUUUUGGCUAUUACAAAUAAAGUUGUCAUGAACAUUUGCAUACAAAU
RNAcentral lists this long non-coding RNA (1045 nucleotides) under Homo sapiens (human). RNAcentral's name for it is "HSALNT0354027". Lineage: Eukaryota; Metazoa; Chordata; Mammalia; Primates; Hominidae. The record is from RNAcentral.